ACAGAAUAGAACGUCUGUUUGCCAGCUACAGCAGCGCGCCCCCUGAACGAUAACGGAGAGGUCAGUGAGAAGCCUGACCACGGAGACGGGGGUAAGAAGCAACGAUAAAAGACCAUCGGAAUAUUCGGUAGAGAUCCGAUAGACCAGAAGGCUGCAAUUAAUAUCCAUGCCAAACGGUGGAGCUGCUCGAUAGCAAACCAAGCCUGCGGCCAAACGGAGAAGGUUUGGCAUACAUGAAGAAUCAGCUUGACACAAUCACACAGGACAAGACUGAGCAUCUAAGGCAGCAUUCCUCUGAUGAAGAGGACUUCUUCUCAUCACUGACAACCAAACGGUCAGAAGGUACAAGGGAGCUGGAUGGGUAUCAUGCUAGUCCAUUGGACAAAAUUCUUUACCACAUUUUCUUCCUGUACAUAAAGAAGUUGUCCCUCAAACUCAACACAGGCCUGCCUGCAUCUGACGCCUGUGAGUGUCUUUUUAGCUGUGCUGGACUCCUCGUCACUGCAAAGCGAGCCAGGAUAGACUCAAUUAACUUAGAAAAUCAGUUCCUACUGAAACUGAAUGGCAAAUUCAGAGAGAAGUGAAGUGAGUUAAGUGUUCGAUCGGUAGUUCCACAGAAAAUAUGCCUUUUGAACAUUGUAUAUCAUUUGUAUAUCAGCUGUGCUGGAUCUUAUCUUGUUGGUUAUUAUCUGGUGUUUUAUGAAACAUUUAGCCUGUCACGCGUUACAUGUAAACAAUAUUACAUAUAGAGUUGUAUAUAGAAAAGUUUAAAAAAAUUAUAUUCAUUUGUUAGUGAAGCUUGCAUUCAAUUGCCACACCCUUUUCACAUGAACUUCCAUUCUUGUAAAAGGAGAAUAAAAAUAUGUCAUGUAUUGUCAUGUUAUGUCUUGUUCCUGUUCUUUCUCUUCACUUCGUUUCCCCCUGCUGGUCGUAUUAGGUUACCUUCUCUUCCUUU
Long non-coding RNA from Oncorhynchus gorbuscha (pink salmon), 955 nucleotides. RefSeq lists it as uncharacterized. NCBI's taxonomy places the organism in Eukaryota, Metazoa, Chordata, Actinopteri, Salmoniformes, Salmonidae. The transcript has 3 exons. The record is from RefSeq and is a predicted model, not a curated record.